Molecule: ribosomal RNA, 500 nt
Filed under: uncultured bacterium
Lineage: Bacteria
Description: partial 16S ribosomal RNA
Rfam family: Bacterial small subunit ribosomal RNA
Source: RNAcentral
AUUGAACGCUGGCGGAAUGCUUUACACAUGCAAGUCGAACGGCAGCACGGACUUCGGCCUGGUGGCGAGUGGCGAACGGGUGAGUAAUGUAUCGGAACGUGCCCAGUCGUGGGGGAUAACGUAGUGAAAAUUACGCUAAUACCGCAUACGAUCUAUGGAUGAAAGCGGGGGAUCGCAAGACCUCGCGCGAUUGGAGCGGCCGAUAUCAGAUUAGGUAGUUGGUGGGGUAAAGGCCCACCAAGCCAACGAUCUGUAGCUGGUCCGAGAGGACGACCAGCCACACUAGAACUGAGACACGGUCCAGACUCCUACGGGAGGCAGCAGUGGGGAAUUUUGGACAAUGGGCGAAAGCCUGAUCCAGCCAUUCCGCGUGCAGGAUGAAGGCCCUCGGGUUGUAAACUGCUUUUGUACAGAACGAAAAGGUUUCUACUAAUACUAGGAGCUCAUGACGGUACUGUAAGAAUAAGCACCGGCUAACUACGUGCCAGCCGCCGCGGUAA